Molecule: ribosomal RNA, 448 nt
Filed under: uncultured bacterium
Lineage: Bacteria
Description: partial 16S ribosomal RNA
Rfam family: Bacterial small subunit ribosomal RNA
Source: RNAcentral
AACGAACGCUGGCGGCAGGCUUAACACAUGCAAGUCGAACGCCCCGCAAGGGGAGUGGCAGACGGGUGAGUAACGCGUGGGAAUCUACCCAGAUCUACGGAACAACAGUUGGAAACGACUGCUAAUACCGUAUACGCCCUACGGGGGAAAGAGUUAUCGAGAUUUGGAUGAGCCCGCGUUGGAUUAGCUAGUUGGUGGGGUAAUGGCCUACCAAGGCGACGAUCCAUAGCUGGUCUGAGAGGAUGAUCAGCCACACUGGGACUGAGACACGGCCCAGACUCCUACGGGAGGCAGCAGUGGGGAAUAUUGGAAAAUGGGCGCAAGCUUGAUCCAGCCAUGCCGCGUGAGUGAUGAAGGACUUAGGGUUGUAAAGUUCUUUCACCGAUGAAGAUAAUGACGGUAGUCGGAGAAGAAGCCCCGGCUAACUUCGUGCCAGCAGCCGCGGUAA